ACGGAGGAUGCGAGCGUUAUCCGGAUUUAUUGGGUUUAAAGGGUGCGUAGGCGGAAAAAUAAGUCAGUGGUGAAAACCUUCAGCUUAACUGGAGACUUGCCAUUGAUACUGUUAUUCUUGAGUAUAGUUAAGGUAGGCGGAAUGUGUAAUGUAGCGGUGAAAUGCUUAGAUAUUACACAGAACACCAAUUGCGAAGGCAGCUUACUGAGCUAUAACUGACGCUGAUGCACGAAAGCGUGGGGAGCGAACAG
This 251-nucleotide ribosomal RNA is filed under the name uncultured prokaryote. RNAcentral's name for it is "partial 16S rRNA". It matches the Rfam family "Bacterial small subunit ribosomal RNA", at positions 525 to 775 of the family's 1533-position model. The record is from RNAcentral.